RNAcentral lists this non-coding RNA (23 nucleotides) under Cricetulus griseus (Chinese hamster). The record is from RNAcentral. Lineage: Eukaryota; Metazoa; Chordata; Mammalia; Rodentia; Cricetidae.
CCAAGGAGAGAGGAAACUGUAGG